RNAcentral lists this ribosomal RNA (647 nucleotides) under uncultured bacterium. Its description in RNAcentral is "bacterial SSU rRNA". It matches the Rfam family "Bacterial small subunit ribosomal RNA", at positions 78 to 720 of the family's 1533-position model. The record is from RNAcentral.
ACAGGUUAAGCUGACGAGUGGCGAACGGGUGAGUAAUAUAUCGGAACGUGCCCAGUCGUGGGGGAUAACGCAGCGAAAGCUGUGCUAAUACCGCAUACGAUCUCUGGAUGAAAGCGGGGGACCUUCGGGCCUCGCGCGAUUGGAGCGGCCGAUAUCAGAUUAGCUAGUUGGCGGGGUAAAGGCCCACCAAGGCGACGAUCUGUAGCUGGUCUGAGAGGACGACCAGCCACACUGGAACUGAGACACGGUCCAGACUCCUACGGGAGGCAGCAGUGGGGAAUUUUGGACAAUGGGCGCAAGCCUGAUCCAGCAAUGCCGCGUGCAGGAUGAAGGCCUUCGGGUUGUAAACUGCUUUUGUACGGAACGAAAAGGUCUGCCCUAAUACGGUGGGCCCAUGACGGUACCGUAAGAAUAAGCACCGGCUAACUACGUGCCAGCAGCCGCGGUAAUACGUAGGGUGCGAGCGUUAAUCGGAAUUACUGGGCGUAAAGCGUGCGCAGGCGGUUAUAUAAGACAGAUGUGAAAUCCCCGGGCUCAACCUGGGACCUGCAUUUGUGACUGUAUAGCUAGAGUACGGUAGAGGGGGGAUGGAAUUCCGCGUGUAGCAGUGAAAUGCGUAGAUAUGCGGAGGAACACCGAUGGCGAAG